GCAUAUCCAAUAAGCGGAAGGAAAAGAAACCAACAGGGAUUGCCCUAGUAACGGCGAGUGAAGCGGCAACAGCUCAAAUUUGAAAUCUGGCUUUCGGGCCCGAGUUGUAAUUUGUAGAGGAUGAUUUUGAUGCGGUGCCUUCCGAGUUCCCUGGAACGGGACGCCAUAGAGGGUGAGAGCCCCGUCUGGUUGGAUGCCAAAUCUCUGUAAAUCUCCUUCGACGAGUCGAGUAGUUUGGGAAUGCUGCUCUAAAUGGGAGGUAUAUGUCUUCUAAAGCUAAAUACCGGCCAGAGACCGAUAGCGCACAAGUAGAGUGAUCGAAAGAUGAAAAGCACUUUGAAAAGAGAGUUAAAAAGUACGUGAAAUUGUUGAAAGGGAAGCGUUUAUGACCAGACUUGGGCUUGGUUAAUCAUCUGGGGUUCUCUCCAGUGCACUUUUCCAGUCCAGGCCAGCAUCAGUUUUCGCCGGGGGAUAAAGGCUUCGGGAAUGUGGCUCCCCUCGGGGAGUGUUAUAGCCCGUUGUGUAAUACCCUGGUGGGGACUGAGGUUCGCGCUUCUGCAAGGAUGCUGGCGUAAUGGUCAUCAACGACCCGUCUUGAAACACGGACCAAGGAGUCGUCUUCGUAUGCGAGUGUUCGGGUGUCAAACCCCUACGCGUAAUGAAAGUGAACGCAGGUGAGAGCUUCGGCGCAUCAUCGACCGAUCCUGAUGUUCUCGGAUGGAUUUGAGUAAGAGCAUACGGGGCCGGACCCGAAAGAAGGUGAACUAUGCCUGUGUAGGGUGAAGCCAGAGGAAACUCUGGUGGAGGCUCGCAGCGGUUUCUGACGUGCAAAUCGAUCGUCAAACAUGGGCAUGGGGCGAAAGACUAAUCGAACCUUCUAGUAGCUGCUUUCCGCAGAG
This 899-nucleotide ribosomal RNA is filed under the name Fusarium graminearum. RNAcentral's name for it is "LSU rRNA". It matches the Rfam family "Eukaryotic large subunit ribosomal RNA", at positions 38 to 965 of the family's 3401-position model. The record is from RNAcentral. Lineage: Eukaryota; Fungi; Ascomycota; Sordariomycetes; Hypocreales; Nectriaceae.